CNCAUGCGAAUGGGUACCCCGUGUGCUGA
Molecule: non-coding RNA, 29 nt
Filed under: Rattus norvegicus (Norway rat)
Lineage: Eukaryota; Metazoa; Chordata; Mammalia; Rodentia; Muridae
Source: RNAcentral